GGAAGAGAAGAGAAGAGGAGAGGAGGAGAGGAGGGGAGAGGAGGGGAGGAGUUUGUGAUGACACUGUGUGACCUUUUUAGUGAUUCCCGAAGCGACAGGAAUAAAUAUUGAUGCAGAUUCUGUAUGUGAUCAAUAAAUGAUCAGACUUAGACGUUUAAUGAACUACCAGGACAACAAUUUACACACUCUUUCUCUCUCCUCUCUCUGUUUCUCUCUCCUCCCUCUCUUUCUCUCUCCUCUCUCUGUUUCUCUCUCCUCCCUCUGUUUCUCUCUCCUCCCUCUCUUUCUCUCUCCUCCUCUCUCUCUCUCUCUUUCUCUCUCCUCCCUCUCUUUCUCUCUCCUCUCUCCUCCCUCUCUUUCUCUCUCCUCUCUCUGUUUCUCUCUCCUUCCUCUCUUUCUCUCCUGUCUCCCCCUCUCUCUCUUUUCUCUAAAGGGGAGUCAAGCUGAGGACACCGGUCUCUAUGACAACCUGCUAGCUCAGGAUGUGUCAUAGGAACUUAAUUAUCUAGAUUACAUUAAUGCGUGUGUUGUGUUGUGUUGUGUUGUGUUGUGUUGUGUUGUGUUGUGUGUGUGUGUGUGUGUGUGUGUGUGUGUGUGUGUGUGUGUGUGUGUGUGUGUGUGUGUGUGUGUGUGUGUGUGUGUGUGUGUGUGUGUGUGUGUGUGUGUUGUGUGUCCAGGGAACAUAAUGUGUCUGCUGCUGUAGAAGAGUAGAAACAGGAAGCUGUAUUUGAUUUAGAGCAGAUUUUAGUAACUGCGAAUCUAGUUAUUAUAUAUUGACACUGUAAUAUACACACUGUCCUUGUUGACGGCGGUUCAACCUUAUCAUUGAUGUGGAGACAUAAUAUGUUACGUCUGACCGUGACGAUUAUACUGGCCAGAUGUAGCUGACUGACUGAAACCGGUGAACCGACAACUUCUUAUUCAUACCAAUAUAAUACGCUUGGAUGACGCAAGUCAGGUGAUUUCCCGUUUAAAGAGGUGUAUAACGGUGUUUGAGGUCGAGCGACAGCAGCGUCAAGCCAGCGGCGGUGGACGUUUCUCCGCCUGAAGCAGCAACGGGAGAGCAGGACGGGAGCCGCGAUCCAGCAGCGGGAGUUCCCUUCUGAUGGAGGCGGUUAACGGACAGGAGACAGCAGCACCGAGAGCAUCGACCCGGGAGACCACGGGAGAAUAAAGACGGUUCCGUUGUCCUAGGAAUAGAGGCUCAGACGGCGUCGUAAGGAAAGGUGAUGAGGGCUGGAGGAAAGGAUGGAUGGAGAACCUGUUGUUUGUUCGGUGUGUUUGAGAGAAACGGGUGGAGGGCUACAACGGAGCUGCAAUACCUGAUUGUGUUCACGUAUCUGGUUCGUUUAUAUUAAUAACUGACAGAAUAAAAACGAGAUGGGUGGACUGCUGCUUCUAAAAUGAAUAUUAUUCAUUUUUAUAGUCUAUAUUUAUUGUAAUUAAAUUGGAGUCUAGACAGUUAGUUUUCCCUCCCCGGUGUUUUUCGUCGUAACGUCAUCAGACGGACAUAGAGCUCAAGGCGAGGCUACUGAAACAGGAAUAUCUGCAAACACAAGGAUUAGGCGAAUUAUUUGUUAAAUAGGCCGAUACAAAUAGACUAUUAGUUGAUUUAAUCUGUCAGCCAAUAUGUUUGUUUUUUUCGCUACAGAAUAAUCCACUUUACUCUUCAGUUUCACAUUAAAGGAACAGGUCUGUUUUUCUUGACCGAUAGGCCGUUGUUGAAUGUGUAACGCUGUACGAGUCUGUUUGGUUCACGUUUCAAUCACUUUAUGUCGGUCCCUUUCAUUCUGCUUCUGACUAAGAGUCUGUGAGCGCCGCCCAGUGGUUGGAACUGUAAUCACACCCAACUGUUUUCUAGCGGUCACCAUCACCCCAAAACCUCCU
Molecule: long non-coding RNA, 1887 nt
Organism: Oncorhynchus tshawytscha (Chinook salmon)
Lineage: Eukaryota; Metazoa; Chordata; Actinopteri; Salmoniformes; Salmonidae
Source: Ensembl